GACGUAGGGGGCCAGCGUUGUUCGGAAUUACUGGGCGUAAAGGGUUCGUAGGCGGUGUGGCAAGUCGGGAGUGAAAUCUCUGGGCUCAACCCAGAGACUGCUUCCGAAACUGCUGUGCUUGAGUGUGAGAGAGGCUCGUGGAAUUGCAGGUGUAGCGGUGAAAUGCGUAGAUAUCUGCAGGAACACCCGUGGCGAAAGCGGCGAGCUGGAUCACUACUGACGCUGAGGAACGAAAGCUAGGGGAGCAAACAGG
This 253-nucleotide ribosomal RNA is filed under the name uncultured bacterium. RNAcentral describes it as "partial 16S ribosomal RNA". It matches the Rfam family "Bacterial small subunit ribosomal RNA", at positions 524 to 776 of the family's 1533-position model. The record is from RNAcentral.